RNAcentral lists this ribosomal RNA (1303 nucleotides) under Cytospora sorbicola. RNAcentral's name for it is "partial large subunit ribosomal RNA". It matches the Rfam family "Eukaryotic large subunit ribosomal RNA", at positions 75 to 1407 of the family's 3401-position model. The record is from RNAcentral. Lineage: Eukaryota; Fungi; Ascomycota; Sordariomycetes; Diaporthales; Cytosporaceae.
UUGCCCUAGUAACGGCGAGUGAAGCGGCAACAGCUCAAAUUUGAAAGCUGGCUCCGGCCCGCAUUGUAAUUUGCAGAGGAUGCUUUUGGCGAGGUGCCUUCCGAGUUCCCUGGAACGGGACGCCAUAGAGGGUGAGAGCCCCGUAUGGAUGGACACCAAACCUGUGUAAAGCUCCUUCAACGAGUCGAGUAGUUUGGGAAUGCUGCUCUAAAUGGGAGGUAAAUCUCUUCUAAAGCUAAAUACCGGCCAGAGACCGAUAGCGCACAAGUAGAGUGAUCGAAAGAUGAAAAGCACCUUGAAAAGGGGGUUAAACAGUACGUGAAAUUGUUGAAAGGGAAGCAUUUAUGACCAGACUUGCGCCGGGCAGCUCAUCAGGGGUUCUCCCCUGUGCACUCUGCCCGGCUCAGGCCAGCAUCGGUUCUCGUGGGAGGAUAAGAACAGUGGGAACGUGGCCCCCCUCCGGGGGGGUGUUAUAGCCCAUUGUACGAUACUCUCGUGGGGACCGAGGUUCGCGCUCCGCAAGGAUGCUGGCGUAAUGGUCAUCAAUGACCCGUCUUGAAACACGGACCAAGGAGUCGUCCAUUAGAGCGAGCGUUUGGGUGUAAAACCCGCACGCGUAAUGAAAGUGAACGCAGGUGAGAGCUUCGGCGCAUCAUCGACCGAUCCUGAUGUCUUCGGAUGGAUUUGAGUAAGAGUUUUAACGGACGGACCCGAAAGACAGUGAACUAUGCUUGUAUAGGGUGAAGCCAGAGGAAACUCUGGUGGAGGCUCGCAGCGGUUCUGACGUGCAAAUCGAUCGUCAAAUAUGAGCAUGGGGGCGAAAGACUAAUCGAACUGUCUAGUAGCUGGUUACCGCCGAAGUUUCCCUCAGGAUAGCAGUGUUGUUCUUCAGUUUUAUGAGGUAAAGCGAAUGAUUAGGGACUCGGGGGCGCUUAUUAGCCUUCAUCCAUUCUCAAACUUUAAAUAUGUAAGAAGCCCUUGUUACUUAAUUGAACGUGGGCAUUCGAAUGUACCAACACUAGUGGGCCAUUUUUGGUAAGCAGAACUGGCGAUGCGGGAUGAACCGAACGCGGGGUUAAGGCGCCAGAGUGUACGCUCAUCAGACACCACAAAAGGCGUUAGUACAUCUUGACAGCAGGACGGUGGCCAUGGAAGUCGGAAUCCGCUAAGGACUGUGUAACAACUCACCUGCCGAAUGUACUAGCCCUGAAAAUGGAUGGCGCUCAAGCGUACCGCCCAUACCCCGCCCUCAGGGUAGAAACGAUGCCCUGAGGAGUAGGCGGCCGUGGGGGUCAGUGACGAA